Molecule: ribosomal RNA, 492 nt
Filed under: uncultured bacterium
Lineage: Bacteria
Description: partial 16S ribosomal RNA
Rfam family: Bacterial small subunit ribosomal RNA
Source: RNAcentral
AGUGAACGCUGGCGGUAGGCCUAACACAUGCAAGUCGAACGGCAGCACAGUAAGAGCUUGCUCUUGCGGGUGGCGAGUGGCGGACGGGUGAGGAAUACAUCGGAAUCUACUUUUUCGUGGGGGAUAACGUAGGGAAACUUACGCUAAUACCGCAUACGACCUACGGGUGAAAGCAGGGGAUCCUCGGACCUUGCGCGAUUGAAUGAGCCGAUGUCGGAUUAGCUAGUUGGCGGGGUAAAGGCCCACCAAGGCGACGAUCCGUAGCUGGUCUGAGAGGAUGAUCAGCCACACUGGAACUGAGACACGGUCCAGACUCCUACGGGAGGCAGCAGUGGGGAAUAUUGGACAAUGGGCGCAAGCCUGAUCCAGCCAUACCGCGUGGGUGAAGAAGGCCUUCGGGUUGUAAAGCCCUUUUGUUGGGAAAGAAAAGCAGCAGGUUAAUACCCCGCUGUUCUGACGGUACCCAAAGAAUAAGCACCGGCUAACUUCGUG